UGGGGAAUAUUGCACAAUGGGCGCAAGCCUGAUGCAGCCAUGCCGCGUGUGUGAAGAAGGCCUUCGGGUUGUAAAGCACUUUCAGCGGGGAGGAAGGCGAUAAGGUUAAUAACCUUGUCGACUGACGUUACCCGCAGAAGAAGCACCGGCUAACUCCGUGCCAGCAGCCGCGGUAAUACGGAGGGUGCAAGCGUUAAUCGGAAUUACUGGGCGUAAAGCGCACGCAGGCGGUCUGUCAAGUCGGAUGUGAAAUCCCCGGGCUCAACCUGGGAACUGCAUUCGAAACUGGCAGUCUAGAGUCUUGUAGAGGGGGGUAGCAUUCCAGGUGUAGCGGUGAAAUGCGUAGGGAUAUGGAGGAAUACCGGUGGCGAGGGCGGCCCGCUGGACAAAGACUGACGCUCAGGUGCGAAAGCGUGGGGAGCAAACAGG
This 429-nucleotide ribosomal RNA is filed under the name Chloroflexota bacterium. RNAcentral's name for it is "Chloroflexi bacterium partial 16S ribosomal RNA". It matches the Rfam family "Bacterial small subunit ribosomal RNA", at positions 355 to 776 of the family's 1533-position model. Lineage: Bacteria; Bacillati; Chloroflexota. The record is from RNAcentral.